UUUAAUGGCAUCGCGCUCCUGGCGCAUUCAGCCAAACGAGUAAAACGGGGAAACGGAAUUAAAGGAUUACAAUAAGGGAUAACGGGUAAUUCGGAAUUUUGGAAAAGGAUCAGGAAAAGGUAAAUUAUAGUAAGUUAAAGUUUAAUGUUAUAACGUGAGAUAAAUAAAUAUAAUGAUUUAAAUAUAUAUGGAGAAGAAUCAUUAAUAUACAUGUGUUGUAAUAGAUGUAGGAAACGGAACUUUCAAAUCUGACAGCUGUCUUAAUAAUAUAGAACGGUCAUAUAGGUUACAUGCAAAGAAUAUAUGAUUAAGAUCAGCGGGAUCAGCUCCACAUGUACAUGCAGAACUGGCCACGCGAUUUAGUCGUUUCAGGUGUUCCGGUGUACAAACGUGACCCAAUUUCAUUCGAAUUAACAUACUAGUUGCAGGUUUUGGCAAAGAGAUUUUAGCAAACCAGGGAUUCCAAAGGACUCACCACUGUACACAGAGGAUUCCGGUGGUAACUUUAUUUUUUGAUAAAUAUUAGAUUGGGUGUGGAGAACACCAAUGCCAACACAACCAUUGUCUGACAUUUUAGAAGCGUCUGUGUAUAUAUGAUGCGCACCCAGGCCAUCUGUUCCAAUGAAUCCCAGGAAUUGUUGAUUUUGUUCAAUAUCAUUCUUGGAGAUACCAAUAUCGAGAAGAACCGGAGGAACAAGUGUUAGAGAAUCAUAUUCAUAUUGGAAAAUGGGAAGUGUUGAAGAGCUAACAGUGGGAGCUGAUAUAGAUUUAAGUUUUUGAAAGCUUUUGAUAAAACAAGGAGGACUCUUAUUUUUCCAAUAGUUGGAAGUAGUAAUUUGAAGCAAGAGGUUAGACAAGAUAGUCCAGAGUUGGUGGUUAGAGAAUUGGGAACAACGAAAAAUAAACCUAUCACAAAGAUAUUGGCGUCGUAAAUGAAGAGGAGGCUCAGAACACUCAACUUGCAUAGCAUUGAUAGGGCUUGAAUUCAUGGCACCACAAAUCAAUCUCAAUACUUUGGAUUGAAUACGAUCAAAUUUUUAGAAGCCAGCUACAUAUCCUGGCUCUAACAAAAAUGUCCCAUAAUCUAGAAUACUUCUGAUCAAGGCAUUGUACAUAAGUUUCAUGCAAAAAUGUGAACCCCACCAAACUCCUGAAACGCACCUGAGGAUACUAAUAUUUUUUUCACAUUUAGAAACUAUGUAAUCACAAUGUGGAAGACCUGUUAAUUUAUUAUCUAAAAUAACACCUAGGAACUUGGUUUUAUCUUUAAUGGAAAUGGAGUUGUUAUUAAAUUGCACAUUAAUCGGAGGAGGAAACAAUUUUCUAGUAAACAAAACUACAACACUUUUAUGCACUGAGAGUUCCAGACCAUUUGAAUCUAACCAUAACUUCAAUAAACCCAAAGAACAAGUGACAGAUCUACUGGCCUGUUCAAUAGAAAGGUUUGGCGAGUAUAAUAAUAAAUCAUCAGCAUAUUGCAAGACUUUAACAGUGUCAUUUAAGGAUGACUCUAAAUCAAAUGUGUAGAUAUUAUAUAACAAGGGACUUAAUACGGAUCCUUGUGGAAGCCCUCUCCACACUAAACGGGAAAUCCUAUUGUUGUCAUCUAUGAGAAGGCUAAUGGACCUUUCUGAUAAAAGGUUUAUUAUGAAAUUGCUUAACAUUAUCGGUAUAGCUAAUUUAUGAAGUUUUGCCUGUAGCACUGAGACUAAAAUAUUAUCAUAAGCGGCGCUUAUGUCAAGAAAAGCAGCUACUACAGUCUCAUUUAUAGAAAAUGCCAAUCGAAUAUCUGAAACUAAAAUGCCCAAGCUAUCAUAAGUAGACCUACCUUUUCGGAAUCCAAAUUGACUAUGAGAAAGUAAUUGGUUUUUUUCUACAAAAUAUUCUAAUCUGUUUUUAACUAAAUGUUCUGCUACUCUAACAAAUACUGAGGAAAGGGCAAUUGGACGAUAAGAAGAAACAUCUGACACUGGUUUGAAGGGCUUUAAAAUAGGAAUAACUAUUUGAGAUCUCCAAGAACCAGGGAUUUUACCAGACUGGAUGACAGAAUUUAUUAUAUUUAGAUAAUAAGAAAGAGUACCAUCACUGGCAUUUGCUAAAAAGGAAUAAGGAACUCCAUCUUCCCCAGGUGAAGUGUCUUUUAAACCACUUAAUACAGCUUUUUACUCCUCCAUUUUAAAAGGCCCAUUUAAAGUAUUAUAACAGCAAGAGUCAAAUGAAAAGGCAGCAGGGUGAAAUACAUAUUCUUCGGGCACGAAUGCAGGAGCUAAUCUGUCCAUAAACUGUGUAGCAAGGUUAGGAGGAAGGAUCUGUCUAGAGGAAUCAUUGAAAGCAUGUCUAAAUCUUUUAAUAUUAUUCCAUACUAUGGAUGGUUUUACACUAGGACUAAGAGACAAACAGAAUCGCUUCCGGCCUUCGAACUUUUUCUUUCGCAACAAUUUUUUAGUCUCACGAGCAACUUGCAUGUAUAUUUCAAAAUUUUCAUUUGUCAUAAAAUGACAAUAUUUUCCUUGCGGUUUCUGAUUGCUUGAGAGCAAUCAUCAUCCCACCAAGGCGGAGAAGGUAUUUUACCCGAUGCACUGUUUUUUACUGGGAAAAUUUCAUCAGCUGCUUCAGUCAUUGUCUCGGCUAAAGCAACAGAGCAAGUAACUACAUUACUAUCAUCUACGGCUGGUAAACCUAACAAUUUCUCCUCUACACGGGCUUUGAAAAGUUUCCAAUCAACAUGACUUAAAUUAUACUUAAGCCUAGGGUUAGGUUUUGGAGAUGGCGGAAUAGAAGAUGGAAAUGUAAUAAUGAUAGGGUAGAGAUCACUCCCAUAUGUUGACUCCAGAGUAUGCCAAGUGAGAGAUGACGCAAGAUCGACUGACGAAAUUGAUAAAUCAAUAGCGCUAAUUGACUCUGUUGGAGCUGUUCGGCGGGUUGGAGAGCCAUUGUUUAAAAUACAAAGAUUGUGUUCAUCUAAGAUAUGUAUGAGGCGAUCUCCAUUAUUAUUAGACGAUGAACUACCCCAAACCUGGUGAUGUGAAUUAAAAUCUCCUAAAAUUAAAACGGGCCUAGGAAGAGAAGAAAUUAUUUGUUCAAGCUCAACAAAAAUGGAUGACGAUGGAUGAGGAAUAUAUACAGAAAUGAUACAGAUGUUAUUUACAAUAGCAGCAACAAUUGAAAAAUCAUCGCUAUGGGAUGGAAGAUGAAAAGGUGAAAAUGAUAUGGAAUUCCUGACGAGUAGAGCUACUCCGCCCCAUCCGCCAGGACGGUCCUCUCUGAGACAUGAAUAUCCCGUAACUCUAAGAAGAGCUCCAGGCUUCAGCCAUGUCUCAGAGAGGGCAAAAACAAAUGGUUGAAAUUUGUUUAAUAAAUGAAUUAGAUCUUG
Long non-coding RNA from Cydia strobilella, 3373 nucleotides. RefSeq lists it as uncharacterized. Lineage: Eukaryota; Metazoa; Arthropoda; Insecta; Lepidoptera; Tortricidae. The transcript is spliced from 2 exons. The record is from RefSeq and is a predicted model, not a curated record.